CCUACGGGAGGCAGCAGUGGGGAAUUUUCCGCAAUGGGCGAAAGCCUGACGGAGCAACGCCGCGUGAGGGAUGAAGGCCUCUGGGCUGUAAACCUCUUUUCUCAAGGAAGAAGAUCUGACGGUACUUGAGGAAUAAGCCACGGCUAAUUCCGUGCCAGCAGCCGCGGUAAUACGGGAGUGGCAAGCGUUAUCCGGAAUUAUUGGGCGUAAAGCGUCCGCAGGCGGCCCUUCAAGUCUGCUGUUAAAAAGUGGAGCUUAACUCCAUCAUGGCAGUGGAAACUGUUGGGCUUGAGUGUGGUAGGGGCAGAGGGAAUUCCCGGUGUAGCGGUGAAAUGCGUAGAUAUCGGGAAGAACACCAGUGGCGAAGGCGCUCUGCUGGGCCAUCACUGACGCUCAUGGACGAAAGCCAGGGGAGCGAAAGGGAUUAGAUACCCCUGUAGUCCUGGCCGUAAACGAUGAACACUAGGUGUCGGGGGAAUCGACCCCUCCGGUGUCGUAGCCAACGCGUUAAGUGUUCCGCCUGGGGAGUACGCACGCAAGUGUGAAACUCAAAGGAAUUGACGGA
RNAcentral lists this ribosomal RNA (565 nucleotides) under uncultured bacterium. RNAcentral's name for it is "bacterial SSU rRNA". It matches the Rfam family "Bacterial small subunit ribosomal RNA", at positions 338 to 917 of the family's 1533-position model. The record is from RNAcentral.